RNAcentral lists this ribosomal RNA (26 nucleotides) under Melanoleuca melaleuca. RNAcentral describes it as "partial 18S ribosomal RNA". RNAcentral also lists the same sequence under 5 other names. The record is from RNAcentral. Lineage: Eukaryota; Fungi; Basidiomycota; Agaricomycetes; Agaricales; Pluteaceae.
GUAGGUGAACCUGCGGAAGGAUAUUA